UGAACGCUGGCGGCAGGCCUAACACAUGCAAGUCGAGCGGUAACAUUUCUAGCUUGCUAGAAGAUGACGAGCGGCGGACGGGUGAGUAAUGCUUGGGAAUAUGCCUUAGGGUGGGGGACAACAGUUGGAAACGACUGCUAAUACCGCAUAACGUCUACGGACCAAAGGGGGCUUCGGCUCUCGCCCUUAGAUUAGCCCAAGUGGGAUUAGCUAGUUGGUGAGGUAAUGGCUCACCAAGGCGACGAUCCCUAGCUGGUUUGAGAGGAUGAUCAGCCACACUGGAACUGAGACACGGUCCAGACUCCUACGGGAGGCAGCAGUGGGGAAUAUUGCACAAUGGGCGCAAGCCUGAUGCAGCCAUGCCGCGUGUGUGAAGAAGGCCUUAGGGUUGUAAAGCACUUUCAGUAAGGAGGAAAGGUUAGUAGUUAAUACCUGCUAGCUGUGACGUUACUUACAGAAGAAGCACCGGCUAACUCCGUGCCAGCAGCCGCGGUAAUACGGAGGGUGCGAGCGUUAAUCGGAAUUACUGGGCGUAAAGCGUACGCAGGCGGUUUGUUAAGCGAGAUGUGAAAGCCCCGGGCUCAACCUGGGAACUGCAUUUCGAACUGGCAAACUAGAGUAUGAUAGAGGGUGGUAGAAUUUCAGGUGUAGCGGUGAAAUGCGUAGAGAUCUGAAGGAAUACCGAUGGCGAAGGCAGCCACCUGGGUCAAUACUGACGCUCAUGUACGAAAGCGUGGGGAGCAAACGGGAUUAGAUACCCCGGUAGUCCACGCCGUAAACGAUGUCUACUAGGAGCUGGGGUCUUCGGACAACUUUUCCAAAGCUAACGCAUUAAGUAGACCGCCUGGGGAGUACGGCCGCAAGGUUAAAACUCAAAUGAAUUGACGGGGGCCCGCACAAGCGGUGGAGCAU
This 912-nucleotide ribosomal RNA is filed under the name metagenome. Its description in RNAcentral is "bacterial SSU rRNA". It matches the Rfam family "Bacterial small subunit ribosomal RNA", at positions 30 to 940 of the family's 1533-position model. The record is from RNAcentral.